GUGUCAGCCGCCGCGGUAAUACGAAGGUGGCAAGCGUUAUUCGGAUUUACUGGGCGUACAGGGAGCGUAGGCGGUUUGGUAAGCCCUCUGUGAAAUCUCCAGGCUUAACCUGGAAAAGUCGGAGGGGACUGCUGGGCUAGAGGACGGGAGAGGAGCGCGGAAUUCCCGGUGUAGCGGUGAAAUGCGUAGAGAUCGGGAGGAAGGCCGGUGGCGAAGGCGGCGCUCUGGAACGUUUCUGACGCUGAGGCUCGAAAGCGUGGGGAGCAAACAGGAUUAGAUACCCUGGUAGUCCACGCCUUAAACUAUGAAUACUAAGUGUCGGCAGUUUACUGCCGGUGCCGCAGCUAACGCAUUAAGUAUUCCGCCUGGGAAGUACGGCCGCAAGGUUGAAACUUAAAUGAAUUGACGGGG
This 411-nucleotide ribosomal RNA is filed under the name uncultured prokaryote. RNAcentral's name for it is "bacterial SSU rRNA". It matches the Rfam family "Bacterial small subunit ribosomal RNA", at positions 505 to 918 of the family's 1533-position model. The record is from RNAcentral.